Molecule: RNase P RNA, 339 nt
Filed under: Bacillota bacterium
Lineage: Bacteria; Bacillati; Bacillota
Description: Firmicutes bacterium (anaerobic digester metagenome) RNase P RNA component class A
Rfam family: Bacterial RNase P class A
About the family: Ribonuclease P (RNase P) is a ubiquitous endoribonuclease, found in archaea, bacteria and eukarya as well as chloroplasts and mitochondria.
Source: RNAcentral
UGAGUAAGCUAGAUGAUCGCGAAGGAGGUACUCCUUUGAGGAAAGUCCGAGCUCCGUAGAGCGGGAUGCUGGGUAACGCCCAGUGGGGGCAACCCCAAGGCUAGUGCUACAGAAAAUAACCGCCUCGCUAGAGGUAAGGUUGAAAAGGUGAGGUAAGAGCUCACCAGCAGUUAGGCGACUAACUGGCUAGGUAAACCCCAUCCGGAGCAAGGUCAAAUAGGGAAGUAGAGGUUGCUCGCCUUGUCAGCUUCCGGGUUGACUGCAGGAAGUCUUAGGUAACUGGGACUCUAGACAGAUGAUCAUCCUCGACAGAACUCGGCUUACCGGUUUACUCAGGAC